CUUCCAGGCAGUGGACAGGUGGGAAGGGGCAAAGCCGGAGCCCAGGAGGCCGGGUGGAGGCGGAGGCAGCCCCCAAGACUGUCCGGGGUCUGGAGGCCCCGCGGAAGUUCAGGCAGGGCCCUGUUUGCAGGACUCAGGAAUUUUCCCUGGCACCCUUGGCAUGGGCAGGCAGAUUCCUAUCUGGCUGGGGGUUUGCCAAAGAACCCUCAGGGAAGGAGGGGGCGGCUCUUACCAGAGAGGGGGCGCAGAGGGGAGCCAGGCCUUCCGCUCCAAAGGGACCCGAUUCCUACCUGGAUUGCUCCACUGGCCAGAGGUGUGACUGUGGACACAUUCCAUGGCCUUUCUGAGUCAGCUUCUUCCUGAGAAAUGGGGCCCCACACCCACCCGGCUCCUGGCAAGUGCUAGACUCCAGGUCACUUCCUACAGAAGGCAAGCCGAGCAGACUUGCCAGAAUCCUUCAUGGGAACAGGAGCCAGAGGGCACCACCAGGCAGGCAGUAAACCCUCGCCGCGGUGCCCUGCGGGGUUCUGGGGAGGCGCGCCAGUCUCCCACCCCUUCCCCAUGCCAGCACACGGCGGGAAGCGCGCUCACCCCUGCGGAGCCAGCCGGUUGGAAAGGCACCCGCCUCCGUGUUCCUCGUUCCGCGGGCCAAGCCACCACCGAACCGGGGAUCCAGCGGACGCUCCCCAGCCGUCCAGCCUGACCCAGGGCUGGUGUGGAAGUGGGUCCAACCUGACCUCCUCCUCCCGCUGGCGGCUUCCUCGGAACCCAGCCACCCUGUCCGCAGAGACCUUCCACUGGACUGGGGCUGCGGAGCCGACAUUUGGAGGUUUGAAGGGGAAAGGGCUUUAUGACCUCGCAGAUUAUGUUUUUUUAUGAACGCAUGGACUUGAACUGCUCAGGGACACUGGCGGUAUGAAGGCUUAUUUUUGUACAAAGAACCCUUAGAUUUAGAACACAAUAAAGAUUGUUUAUUCCCUCUAGUCCCUCUUCCUGGAAGUUUGGAACCUGGCCGAAAUCUCCCGUGCCACAGCCCUUGGGCA
RNAcentral lists this long non-coding RNA (1043 nucleotides) under Cervus hanglu yarkandensis (Yarkand deer). Its description in RNAcentral is "lncRNA (ENSCHYG00000002384.1)". Lineage: Eukaryota; Metazoa; Chordata; Mammalia; Artiodactyla; Cervidae. The record is from RNAcentral.